Molecule: long non-coding RNA, 463 nt
Organism: Uloborus diversus
Lineage: Eukaryota; Metazoa; Arthropoda; Arachnida; Araneae; Uloboridae
Exons: 2
Source: RefSeq, a predicted model, not a curated record
GCCUCCUGAUCUGCCUCCCUCGUGAGCAAGCGGCCGCCUACUGCAAGGACAUCGAGAAGCAGGAGGGCUUCCAGUCCUGGAUCAUCGGCAUCGUGGAACAGGGGAAUCGCACGGCCAGGGUCAUCGACAAGCCCCGGGUCAUAGAAGUCCCCUCCAAGGAGAAGGAGGGGGAGCUCUGGUAGUCCCCACCCCACCCCCGGGGGAGGGGGCGAGAGCGAAGAGAUUCGGAAAAUAAUGAAUGGGGUUGUAUGAUCCCGAAAAGUUUCGGCGCAACAUCUUUCCCAUGAUGUGACGAGCAGCGUGUUAUUCUCCGUACAGUUUUGUGAACCCGUUCUGGAAAACUUUCAGCAACUGGAAUGGUGGAUGUCCCCUGUAUUACGUAUACACGCCGUCAAUCUGGAAAAUGUGUUGCUUUGGAGUUUUUCCUUGUAAUUUUAUUUAAUAAAAUUUGUAAUAAUGCAAA